RNAcentral lists this long non-coding RNA (1538 nucleotides) under Ficedula albicollis (Collared flycatcher). RNAcentral describes it as "lncRNA (ENSFALG00000025149.1)". The record is from RNAcentral. Lineage: Eukaryota; Metazoa; Chordata; Aves; Passeriformes; Muscicapidae.
GACCCCCCAAAGGACAAACAUUCCUGUGCUGCUCCAGCGACAUUAAUCAGGAUUUAUUCCACAUUCUGCUCCUGGGGUGGGUUCCCUCAGCAAUGCUCCCAGGGUAGAUCCCAGUGCUGGAGGGUCCCUCCCCAAGAAACAAACAAAGCGUCGCUCCAGGAACGAUGACCAGGAUUUAUUCCACAUCCCUCUCCUGGAGUGGGACCCUGGGGACGCCCAGGAUGAUCCCAGAGCAGAUCCCAGUGCUGGGGGCACAGGGACUCCGCCCGCGGGACGAACACAGCGUCGCUCCGGGAGCAGUGACCAGGAUUUAUUCCACACCCCGCCCCGGGGGAUCCCCACGGCAGAUCCCAGCGGGAUUCCCGGUCCGGGCAGCAAGGCAGAGGCUGCUUCUCCUCCGGAAUUCCCGGCUCCAAGCCCUCGGGAGCCUCUGGCUAAAUAGACUCGAUCUGCUUGCGGACCUUCUCCAGCGCCCGGCGGUCCAGCACGCGCUGCCGCAGCACCACCAGCGCCGCCGCCGCCACCGCCACGCCCAGAGCCGAGCCAACGAAGCGCCAGCCCCCCCCCCCCCCCCCCCCCCCCCCCCCCCCCCCCCCCCCCCCCCCCCCCCCCCCCCCCCCCCCCCCCCCCCCCCCCCCCCCCCCCCCCCCCCCCCCCCCCCCGGGAAUGACCGAUCCCGUGGGAGCGACCGAUCCCCGGGAACGACCAAUCCCGUGGGAGCGUCCGAUCCCCGGGAACGACCGAUCCCGUGGGAGCGACCGAUCCCUGGGAGCGACCGAUCCCUGGGAACGACUGAUCCCCAGGAACGACCGAUCCCAUGGGAGCGACUGAACCCCCGGGAAUGACCGAUCCCCAGGAACGACCGAUCCCUGGGACCGACCGAUCCCCAGGAAUGACUGGCCCUGAUCCACUGGGAAUGACCGGCCCCAAUCCCACAGAAGUUCCCAGCCCCAAUCCCACAGGAGCUCCCAGCCCCAAUCCCACAGGAGUUCUCAGUCCCAAUCCCUCAGGAGUUCUCAGUCCCAAUCCCACAGGAGUUCCCAGCCCCAAUCCCACAGGAGUUCCCAGCCCUGAUCCCCCAGGAUUGACGAGCCCCAGUCCCCCGGGAAUUCCCCACCUCUUGUACUCAUCCCGCUGGGACGAGGCGCAGUUGAUCCUCUCGAUGAAACCGGUGGAGCCGCAGGCCGGGAUCGUCUUCUGCCAACGAGGGAACGGAGGGGUCGGUCCGGGAGAGACCCCCCGAGCCCCGGGGCAAGGGGGACCCCGGGGGACCCCGCUCACCAUCUCGAAGCCGGAGCACCGCGUGCACUCCUGGGCAACCACGAACUGCUCCACUCGCCAGCACGGCGUGGCCACCGCGGGGCUCGCUGCGGGGGGACGGCGUCAGGGGGGACCGGAGAGACCCCAGACCCGGAGCAACGCGCCGGUACCGGACAGAGCCCCGGAGCAACAACCCGGUACCGGACAGACCGCAGAGCAACACCCCGGUACCGGACAGAGCCCCGGAGAAACACCCCCGGUACCGGACAGACCCCGGA